Molecule: ribosomal RNA, 394 nt
Filed under: Austroboletus roseialbus
Lineage: Eukaryota; Fungi; Basidiomycota; Agaricomycetes; Boletales; Boletaceae
Description: eukaryotic LSU rRNA
Rfam family: Eukaryotic large subunit ribosomal RNA
Source: RNAcentral
CAUUGUACAAGCACAAAAGAAAUGUAGCUCUUUUCGGAGUGUGUUAUAGUCUUUUGUUAUAUCCAGUGGUUGGGACUGAGGAACUCUGCACGACUAGCUUUGUGCAUAGGUUGCUGGCAUAAUGGCCUUAAGCGACCCGUCUUGAAACACGGACCAAGGAGUCUAACAUGCCUGCGAGUAUUUGGGUCAUAAACUCAUAUGCGAAAUGAAAGUAAUAUGUCGACACCUCUGUCAUCGAGGGCAUCGACGCCCGGACCAAAGUCUAUUUGACAAUGCAUCCGAGGUAAAGCAUGCAUGUUGGGACCCGAAAGAUGGUGAACUAUGCCUGAAUAGGGUGAAGCCAGAGGAAACUCUGGUGGAGGCUCGUAGCGAUUCUGACGUGCAAAUCGAUCGU